Molecule: ribosomal RNA, 253 nt
Filed under: uncultured bacterium
Lineage: Bacteria
Description: partial 16S ribosomal RNA
Rfam family: Bacterial small subunit ribosomal RNA
Source: RNAcentral
UACGUAGGGACCAAGCGUUGUUCGGAUUUACUGGGCGUAAAGGGCGCGUAGGCGGCUUGUCAAGUCACUUGUGAAAUCUCUGGGCUUAACCCAGAACGGCCAAGUGAAACUGACAUGCUAGAGUGCAGAAGGGGCAAUCGGAAUUCUUGGUGUAGCGGUGAAAUGCGUAGAUAUCGGGAGGAACACCAAUUGCGAAGGCAGCUCGCUGGGACGUCACUGACGCUGAGACGCGAAAGCGUGGGGAGCAAACAGG